This 71-nucleotide transfer RNA is filed under the name Danio rerio (zebrafish). It matches the Rfam family "tRNA". From Rfam's summary of the family: Transfer RNA (tRNA) molecules are approximately 80 nucleotides in length. Their secondary structure includes four short double-helical elements and three loops (D, anti-codon, and T loops). Further hydrogen bonds mediate the characteristic L-shaped molecular structure. tRNAs have two regions of fundamental functional importance: the anti-codon, which is responsible for specific mRNA codon recognition, and the 3' end, to which the tRNAs corresponding amino acid is attached (by aminoacyl-tRNA synthetases). tRNAs cope with the degeneracy of the genetic code in two manners: having more than one tRNA (with a specific anti-codon) for a particular amino acid; and 'wobble' base-pairing, i.e. permitting non-standard base-pairing at the 3rd anti-codon position. The record is from Rfam by way of RNAcentral. Lineage: Eukaryota; Metazoa; Chordata; Actinopteri; Cypriniformes; Danionidae.
GCAUUGGUGGUUCAGUGGUAGAAUUCUCUCCUCACACGCGGGAGACCCGGGUCCGAUUCCCGGCCAAUGAA